GAUGAACGCUAGCGACAGGCCUAACACAUGCAAGUCGAGGGGCAGCACAAAGUAGCAAUACUUGGUGGCGACCGGCGCACGGGUGAGUAACACGUAUGCAACCUACCUGUAAGAGGGGAAUAACCCGGAGAAAUUCGGACUAAUACCGCAUAAUACCGCUGAACUGCAUGGUUUAGUGGUUAAACAUUUAUGGCUUACAGAUGGGCAUGCGUAUGAUUAGCUAGUUGGUGAGGUAACGGCUCACCAAGGCAACGAUCAUUAGGGGUUCUGAGAGGAAGGUCCCCCACACUGGUACUGAGACACGGACCAGACUCCUACGGGAGGCAGCAGUGAGGAAUAUUGGUCAAUGGGCGAGAGCCUGAACCAGCCAAGUCGCGUGAAGGAAGAAGGUUCUAUGGAUUGUAAACUUCUUUUGUAAGGGAAUAAAAAAGAGUACGUGUACUCUAUUGUAUGUACUUUACGAAUAAGGAUCGGCUAACUCCGUGCCAGCAGCCGCGGUAAUACGGAGGAUCCAAGCGUUAUCCGGAUUUAUUGGGUUUAAAGGGUGCGUAGGCGGACCUUUAAGUCAGUGGUGAAAGUUUGCGGCUCAACCGUAAAAUUGCCAUUGAAACUGCAGGUCUUGAGUGUAAAUAAGGUAGGCGGAAUGUGUUGUGUAGCGGUGAAAUGCUUAGAUAUAAUACAGAACACCAAUUGCGAAGGCAGCUUACUGGGAUACAACUGACGCUGAGGCACGAAAGCGUGGGGAUCAAACAGGAUUAGAUACCCUGGUAGUCCACGCAGUAAACGAUGAAUACUAGCUGUAUGCGAUAUACUGUAUGUGGCAAAGCGAAAGCGUUAAGUAUUCCACCUGGGGAGUACGUCCGCAAGAAUG
RNAcentral lists this ribosomal RNA (871 nucleotides) under uncultured bacterium. RNAcentral's name for it is "bacterial SSU rRNA". It matches the Rfam family "Bacterial small subunit ribosomal RNA", at positions 28 to 896 of the family's 1533-position model. The record is from RNAcentral.